GCGGGAGUAGUUCAGUGGUAGAACGCAACCUUGCCAAGGUUGAGGUCGUGGGUUCGAACCCCAUUUCCCGCU
Molecule: transfer RNA, 72 nt
Filed under: Anaplasmataceae bacterium
Lineage: Bacteria; Pseudomonadati; Pseudomonadota; Alphaproteobacteria; Rickettsiales; Anaplasmataceae
Description: tRNA-Gly
Rfam family: tRNA
About the family: Transfer RNA (tRNA) molecules are approximately 80 nucleotides in length.
Source: RNAcentral